This 575-nucleotide ribosomal RNA is filed under the name uncultured bacterium. Its description in RNAcentral is "partial 16S ribosomal RNA". It matches the Rfam family "Bacterial small subunit ribosomal RNA", at positions 355 to 923 of the family's 1533-position model. The record is from RNAcentral.
UGGGGAAUUUUGGACAAUGGGCGAAAGCCUGAUCCAGCAAUGCCGCGUGUGUGAAGAAGGCCUUCGGGUUGUAAAGCACUUUUGUCCGGAAAGAAAUCCUUGGCUCUAAUACAGUCGGGGGAUGACGGUACCGGAAGAAUAAGCACCGGCUAACUACGUGCCAGCAGCCGCGGUAAUACGUAGGGUGCAAGCGUUAAUCGGAAUUACUGGGCGUAAAGCGUGCGCAGGCGGUUUGCUAAGACCGAUGUGGAAUCCCCGGGCUCAACCUGGGAACUGCAUUGGUGACUGGCAGGCUAGAGUAUGGCAGAGGGGGGUAGAAUUCCACGUGUAGCAGUGAAAUGCGUAGAGAUGUGGAGGAAUACCGAUGGCGAAGGCAGCCCCCUGGGCCAAUACUGACGCUCAUGCACGAAAGCGUGGGGAGCAAACAGGAUUAGAUACCCUGGUAGUCCACGCCCUAAACGAUGUCAACUAGUUGUUGGGGAUUCAUUUCCUUAGUAACGUAGCUAACGCGUGAAGUUGACCGCCUGGGGGGUACGGUCGCAAGAUUAAAACUCAAAGGAAUUGACGGGGUCAUA